Molecule: ribosomal RNA, 190 nt
Filed under: Staphylococcus aureus
Lineage: Bacteria; Bacillati; Bacillota; Bacilli; Caryophanales; Staphylococcaceae
Description: partial 16S ribosomal RNA
Rfam family: Bacterial small subunit ribosomal RNA
Source: RNAcentral
AUGCUACGGUGAAUACGUUCCCGGGUCUUGUACACACCGCCCGUCACACCACGAGAGUUUGUAACACCCGAAGCCGGUGGAGUAACCUUUUAGGAGCUAGCCGUCGAAGGUGGGACAAAUGAUUGGGGUGAAGUCGUAACAAGGUAGCCGUAUCGGAAGGUGCGGCUGGAUCACCUCCUUUCUAAGGAGA